Long non-coding RNA from Nomascus leucogenys (northern white-cheeked gibbon), 448 nucleotides. RefSeq lists it as uncharacterized. The record is from RefSeq and is a predicted model, not a curated record. NCBI's taxonomy places the organism in Eukaryota, Metazoa, Chordata, Mammalia, Primates, Hylobatidae. The transcript is spliced from 2 exons.
CUGUUUUCUCAAUGAUAACUUGGCAGAAGAAGAGAGAGGCUGCCAGGUUCUCCUCGGGUGGUUACGUGACAAAUGUCUUCCAUGCUGUUUGUCACCACUCCACAUGCCAGUUCAGGCAGCCGAGUGGUUUCUUUCCCCAGGAGUGAGAUGUUUGAGCAACUAGCAAAGAGAAGAGGCAGCGUACCCAAGAGCUCUGGAGUUUGAAUAGAUCCUUUCUAAGCCCAGAUUCUCUAAAUCCAGCUCUGCCUAGGAACCGCUCUCUGUUUCUGUUGCUUAUUCAAGUUCAAACUCCGCAGUUAAUAUUGUUGGAGCAUGUUCAGUUUCACUUCCCAACCAAACCAAAGGGCAUAAAAAUGCUUACUAAGGUAGAUGGAAGACAUAGAAGGCAAUGCCCUAAACUUUACUCGUGCUUAGACCUUGUAAAUCCAAUUAAACCUCCUCAACAAUA